CUGCUUUACAGAUGCUAUAAAUAGUUCUCUUCUUUAUUCAUUGCAUGCUUGCAGUGAAUAUUUUGUUUACCUUUCUUGAACAUCAAUUCCUCUUUCAUUUUCAACAAGAGUCGGUUGAUCAUAACUCCUUUUUCAAUAAGAGUCCAUUAAUCAUAACUCCUUUUCCUACGUUCUAUUAAAGCUCUUCAUAUUUGACAUUUGACAUAAACAUUUUGCAACAAAGUUCCGUGUUUACUGAGUAAAAUCUCUCUAUAUUUACUGAGUAGACUCCAUCAGUAACUGGUGCAAUGAUAUGUUAUGUAGACAGAAAUACCAGUUCCGUGUUUCAAUUAUCUCACUAUGCCGUGUUUUUCAGCCUGUGACGGGUGACUGGAGGUGUAUUUGAUGAAGUGCAAGUUUUCUUAGUACUAACAUCUUCGGAUAGUUCAAUGGUAGUUGUCUACACAGGUCGAACUAAACUGCACGAUGAAAUAUGCAGGGGUCAAUGUUCAUGUAAACGAAGCAGAGGCAACUUGGUCCUCACACAGUCGCAGAUGUCUACUGUAACAAAUGCGAGAAUCUACUAGGAUGGAAAUUUAUUGAAGUAUUUGAAGAGGAUCCAGUCGCAAGAAAAGACAUGGUUAUGUUGAAAAUGGAGAAGCUGCAGGAAAGGAAUGGAAAUCAAAUAGAAGAAGCAGAAGAACCUAGAGCAAAUGCAGCAAUGGGAGCGCCAGUAGUUAAGAAACUAUAAACCUAUGAUGGAAGAUUCUGUCAAGGAGAUCUCUUGAAUAAAUCAAUUAACUUCUACAAGAGAAACUUUGAAUGCCCUUUACUUUGCUUUUUCCAUAUUUUUUAUAAGCUUUUCACAUUUCUUAUAUUGCUAUAUGUACCCUGAUAUGGUACUGCAACAUCCCAUACCUGAACAAGAAAAAAUGAUUCAUACACUAGUUUCUUUUUGCUAAAAGGGAUUUGAUACAGUACUGAUACACAAUUCGGGGGUGUUUUCUAUUGUAAACCGUGAUAAUAUUGUCAUCAUGUUUCAUGAUUGUAGCCUCUGAAUAGGGCUCUUUGCGCUGUUUAGCAUCAGUUAUUGUGCAGAUGUGAAGUUGCAACUCUGAUUCUCUGGAAUCUGAAGUACACUUAUAAA
Solanum dulcamara is the source of this 1126-nucleotide long non-coding RNA. RefSeq lists it as uncharacterized. The transcript has 3 exons. Lineage: Eukaryota; Viridiplantae; Streptophyta; Magnoliopsida; Solanales; Solanaceae. The record is from RefSeq and is a predicted model, not a curated record.